Long non-coding RNA from Oreochromis niloticus (Nile tilapia), 942 nucleotides. RefSeq lists it as uncharacterized. The record is from RefSeq and is a predicted model, not a curated record. The transcript is spliced from 5 exons. Lineage: Eukaryota; Metazoa; Chordata; Actinopteri; Cichliformes; Cichlidae.
ACACGAGGCUGGAUGGAAACUUAACAUCUGUAAUCCAGGUGUGACAGAGAUUGUUGGAAAAGCUCCAACAAAAUGAGGAAGAGGAGGGGGAGAAACACAAUUAGAUUGAAUUACAAUUGGAUGGAAGGCGAGGACAAGGAGAAGGAAGCUUAGGAUGAGGAGGAAGACAAGCAGCAGGAGCAUCUUUAGGGAUCUCUAUGAUGUCAUUGAGAGGCAGCGGCGAGAGGGGAGACCUUGGCUUAUCCAGCUGGAGAGCUUGACCAGGAGGAGUCGAACAUUAACUCUGCUCUUCCAGACCACCCUGCAGACUCGGCUGCUGGCAUCGACAAGGGAUGACGUGAACCAUUAAAGACCAGAAAACCAUCACAGCUGAGUCUGGACAGGACGUCACUCUGACAUGUCGAGCUCCAAAUAACAACAUCAGACGUGUGUAUUGGAGCAGAGAUGACCUGUUGCCAGAAAAUGUGUUUUUGUACUAGCAUUGUCGUUUCGAUCCAGACGACCAGCAUCCAUCUUUUAAGAACCGGGUGGAUCUGCAGGACAGACAGAUGAAGGAUGGAGACGUGUCUUUGAUUCUGAAGGAUGUGACGAUUAAUAAUGCUGAAACAUACGAGUGUGCUGUUUACAUGGAAGAAACUCACUCAUGGGAGCUCAUCAGCAUCAUCUACCUCAGGGUUUCUCCAGGUUCCUUGCCACCUGGGGACUCCUUCAGGACCAUUGCGUUCAGUUUCAGAAUCGGUGUGUCCACGGUGUGCCAGAUCACCCCCCAGGUAGUGACGGCCAUCUGGGACUGUCUAGUGGACGACUUCAUAGCUGUGUCUUCACCUGGAGACUGGCGGUCCAUCACAGAGGGAUUUCAGGAGCGCUGGAACUUCCCUCUCUGCUGUGGAACUCUGGAUGGGAAGCACGUCCAGACAAAGGCACCCCAUAUAUCAUAUAGGA